GGCACGGUGACUUAGUGGUUAGUGAGCUUGCCUCACACCCCAGGGUUGAGGUUUCAAUUCCCGCCAUGGCCC
Molecule: non-coding RNA, 72 nt
Organism: Ameiurus melas (black bullhead)
Lineage: Eukaryota; Metazoa; Chordata; Actinopteri; Siluriformes; Ictaluridae
Source: the annotation of a GenBank genome assembly